AGAGUUUGAUCCUGGCUCAGGAUGAACGCUAGCUACAGGCUUAACACAUGCAAGUCGAGGGAAACGAUAUUGGAAGCUUGCUUCCGAUAGGCGUCGACCGGCGCACGGGUGAGUAACGCGUAUCCAACCUGCCCACCACUUGGGGAUAACCUUAGCGAAAGUAAGACUAAUACCCAAUGAUAUCUCUAGAAGACAUCUGAAAGAGAUUAAAGAUUCAUCGGUGAUGGAUGGGGAUGCGUCUGAUUAGCUUGUUGGCGGGGUAACGGCCCACCAAGGCAACGAUCAGUAGGGGUUCUGAGAGGAAGGUCCCCCCACAUUGGAACUGAGACACGGUCCAAACUCCUACGGGAGGCAGCA
Molecule: ribosomal RNA, 357 nt
Filed under: uncultured bacterium
Lineage: Bacteria
Description: bacterial SSU rRNA
Rfam family: Bacterial small subunit ribosomal RNA
Source: RNAcentral